Molecule: long non-coding RNA, 522 nt
Filed under: Capra hircus (goat)
Lineage: Eukaryota; Metazoa; Chordata; Mammalia; Artiodactyla; Bovidae
Description: lncRNA (ENSCHIG00000004583.1)
Source: RNAcentral
AUCCUGGCACACAAUUUCCUGUGUAAUCUGGUCCCUGCUAUCCCUCCAAGCCCAUUUAUUCCCAAGGUCCCACCUACCCUCUGACAUCUCCCUACACUUGUUUUUCAGUUCCUGUUGCUCAAAACUGGACUUGGAGGCAGCAGACCAUGUGAUUGAAGAAUACAUUCUCCAAAAUAGAAACCAAGCCUGAUCUACCACUUAUAACCGCCUUGAGUACACAAGAGAGAUCACUACGCCCACAGAAACCAAGUCACAGCCUGGCUGAUUUUCAGACAUGCUGGUGUCCCUCCGAACCAGCUCUCUUGUCAUCAAUCUCUACCUGCACAAACACUGCAGUGCAUGAAAAUGGAACACCAACGGGAUGAUGACAGAGCCAGCCUCAGCUACUCUUGUUCCUUGGAAGUCCUCAUAGAAGAAUUGUCAACCAGUUGUCAACCAUUUCAGCUCAUUGGAAGAGCCAAGGCAGUUAGGACUCUAUUAUACCUCAAUGUGGACACAGCUGUGACAGAAUGCAGGGGCUGA